RNAcentral lists this ribosomal RNA (497 nucleotides) under uncultured bacterium. RNAcentral's name for it is "partial 16S ribosomal RNA". It matches the Rfam family "Bacterial small subunit ribosomal RNA", at positions 28 to 507 of the family's 1533-position model. The record is from RNAcentral.
GAUGAACGCUGGCGGCGUGCCUAAUACAUGCAAGUCGAGCGAACAGACGAGGAGCUUGCUCCUCUGACGUUAGCGGCGGACGGGUGAGUAACACGUGGAUAACCUACCUAUAAGACUGGGAUAACUUCGGGAAACCGGAGCUAAUACCGGAUAAUAUAUUGAACCGCAUGGUUCAAUAGUGAAAGACGGUUUUGCUGUCACUUAUAGAUGGAUCCGCGCCGCAUUAGCUAGUUGGUAAGGUAACCGCUUACCAAGGCAACGAUGCGUAGCCGACCUGAGAGGGUGAUCGGCCACACUGGAACUGAGACACGGUCCAGACUCCUACGGGAGGCAGCAGUAGGGAAUCUUCCGCAAAGGGCGAAAGCUUGACGGAGCAACGCCGCGUGAGUGAUGAAGGUCUUCGGAUCGUAAAACUCUGUUAUUAGGGAAGAACAAAUGUGUAAGUAACUAUGCACGUCUUGACGGUACCUAAUCAGAAAGCCACGGCUAACUACGUG